This 797-nucleotide long non-coding RNA is filed under the name Phoenix dactylifera (date palm). Its description in RNAcentral is "long non-coding RNA (PDAC_LNC017494)". The record is from RNAcentral. Lineage: Eukaryota; Viridiplantae; Streptophyta; Magnoliopsida; Arecales; Arecaceae.
AAAGGAUGACAAUAAAUAGCUCGUUAAGCAUCCUUUCACCGAAUAUAUCCUACCACAUGAUCUAUCCAUUUAUCAAAGAUCAUGUCUCUUAGAAUUACCAUUAGAUCGGAUGCAUCUUUACAUAAGAGAACAUCACCUCAUUUGUGGGAAUCUUUCGAGGCAUCCAUUUGCAAAACAUCCGUUCAUCAUGUCUUGUGAGGAGAGAAGAGAAAUGAAGAUAAAGUUAAUCUUUAUCCAUUCAAAAGUUCUAGUUAUUUGGGUAUCUAAGAUAAGUUUUUAUAUUUAAGUAGGCUUAUAUUUUGUUUAAUAUCAACCAUUCUUAAAAUCUCAAAAUUUUGAAUUAAAUAUAUUAUUGUUAAGAUGCAUAAUUUAAAAUUUUGAAAGUUAAAUAACACAUAAAAUGCAUCUGGAUCAAAAAUACUAUACAAUAGGUAAAGGUGUCUUGCAGGUUUGAAUCUUAGUGUUGACAUGUUUCUUUUAUACAGCUCUUGGUGAAUAAAAUUUUGAACUAAACUUUUUGAUAUAAUGUCACAUACCACACACAUAGUAUUGGCUAUUAUUAGGUUUAUUCGGGUUAGCUCUUUUCAGCCUCGUGCUAGUUUCUUAGCUUCAUGAGUGCUUUAGAGAUAGCCCAAUCCCAUAUCCCAUAUGUUGCAACUCCACAACCACACUUAUAUAGAUGAGUCUUUCGAGGAUGAUUGCAAUGCUUACAUCCAACAAAAUAAGCUAUGGACCCAUUAAGGAUAAUUAGCCUUCCUCUUACCCUUGAUUAAAAAAUACUUUUAUUUCUUUUUCCC